This 215-nucleotide unclassified non-coding RNA is filed under the name Hevea brasiliensis (rubber tree). Lineage: Eukaryota; Viridiplantae; Streptophyta; Magnoliopsida; Malpighiales; Euphorbiaceae. The record is from RNAcentral.
AUAAAAAAAGAGAAAUCAUUUGGAUAUAAUUGUGGUGAGGUUGAAUUUAGAAGUUAGAAUAAAAAUCAAUUUGCUCAAUUUAAAAUUAAAUUAAUUAAAAUUAAAUUUAAAUUUAAUUGAAACCAUUGGAUGAUUUUGAUUUCGGUUAAAAUCAAAAUUUUCAUUUGAGAAAUUUUUUGUUUUGUUUUUUUAAUCCUAUAAUACCAUUAUCCCUA